RNAcentral lists this ribosomal RNA (492 nucleotides) under uncultured bacterium. Its description in RNAcentral is "partial 16S ribosomal RNA". It matches the Rfam family "Bacterial small subunit ribosomal RNA", at positions 30 to 507 of the family's 1533-position model. The record is from RNAcentral.
AUUGAACGCUGGCGGCAUGCUUUACACAUGCAAGUCGAACGGUAACAGGCCUUCGGGUGCUGACGAGUGGCGAACGGGUGAGUAAUGCAUCGAAACGUGCCCAGAGGUGGGGGAUAACGCAGCGAAAGCUGUGCUAAUACCGCAUGUGAUCUGAGGAUGAAAGCGGGGGACCAGGCAGCAAUGUUUGGCCUCGCGCCUUUGGAGCGGCCGAUGUCAGAUUAGGUAGUUGGUGGGGUAAAGGCCUACCAAGCCGACGAUCUGUAGCUGGUCUGAGAGGACGACCAGCCACACUGGGACUGAGACACGGCCCAGACUCCUACGGGAGGCAGCAGUGGGGAAUUUUGGACAAUGGGCGCAAGCCUGAUCCAGCAAUGCCGCGUGCGGGAAGAAGGCCUUCGGGUUGUAAACCGCUUUUGUACGGAACGAAAAGGCUCUGGCUAAUACCUGGGGCUGAUGACGGUACCGUAAGAAUAAGCACCGGCUAACUACGUG